This 253-nucleotide ribosomal RNA is filed under the name uncultured bacterium. RNAcentral's name for it is "partial 16S ribosomal RNA". It matches the Rfam family "Bacterial small subunit ribosomal RNA", at positions 524 to 776 of the family's 1533-position model. The record is from RNAcentral.
UACAGGGGGUGCAAACGUUGCUCGGAAUCAUUGGGCGUAAAGCGCACGUAGGCGGUUCGUUAUGUCGGAUGUGAAAGCCCUUGGCUUAACCGAGGAAGUGCAUCCGAAACUGGCGAGCUAGAGUACUAAAGAGGAUCGCGGAAUUCCCGGUGUAGAGGUGAAAUUCGCAGAUAUCAGGAGGAACACCGGUGGCGAAGGCGGUUCUCUGGGCAUUACCUGACGCUGAGGAGCGAAAGUGUGGGGAGCGAACAGG